AUUCCAGCUCCAAUAGCGUAUACUAAAGUUGUUGCAGUUAAAAAGCUCGUAGUUGGAUUUCUGUUUUUAAAAAUCGGUCGUAACCUCACGGUUUCUGUACCAGGUUUCUUAAAUGCAUCCUCAGGGUUCUGUUAUCUGGUAUUAAUUUAUCGGAUUUCUGGUCCUUGUCAUUUACUGUGAGCAAAAUAGAGUGUUCAAAGCAGGCUUAGGCCAUGAAUACAUUAGCAUGGAAUAAUAAGAUAGGACCUUGGUCUAUUUUGUUGGUUUACAUUCCAAGGUAAUGAUUAAUAGGGAUAGUUGGGGGUAUUCGUAUUCAAUUGUCAGAGGUGAAAUUCUUGGAUUUAUGGAAGACGAACUACUGCGAAAGCAUUUACCAAGGAUGUUUUCAUUG
This 391-nucleotide ribosomal RNA is filed under the name Chrysophyceae sp. RNAcentral's name for it is "partial small subunit ribosomal RNA". It matches the Rfam family "Eukaryotic small subunit ribosomal RNA", at positions 582 to 975 of the family's 1831-position model. Lineage: Eukaryota; Chrysophyceae. The record is from RNAcentral.